AUAAGUGGUUGCUCAUUUGAAUUCAAAUCGAAUUUGAAUUCAAAUGCCAACCAACUCAUUCCUAUCCACUCUACGCAUGAGAAGAGAGGAGGCAUGGCUUCUCUUGUGCAUGGAAAAUUUAUACGAGAAACUCUUUCUCGUGUAAAACAAAUGGUGCAAGGAUAAGGCUAGGUGGCGCAUGGAUUGGUUGCUCAUUCAAAUUCAAACUUUCUUUUGAAUUUGAAUGGCCAACCAACCAUCUUUAUCCACCCAUAUGGCGCACAAAUGUGGGGCAUGGGAAGGCCUUUGCAUGGGAGA
Molecule: long non-coding RNA, 297 nt
Filed under: Elaeis guineensis (African oil palm)
Lineage: Eukaryota; Viridiplantae; Streptophyta; Magnoliopsida; Arecales; Arecaceae
Description: long non-coding RNA (EGUI_LNC048176)
Source: RNAcentral